GAUGAACGCUCGCGGCAGGCUUAAUACAUGCAAGUCGUGGGGCAGCAGGACUGUAGCAAUACAGUUGCUGGCGACCGGCAAACGGGUGCGGAACACGUACGCAACUUACCUUGAACUGGGGGAUAGCCCGGGGAAACCCGGAUUAAUACCCCGUAAUAUAAUGGGGUGGCAUCAUUUUAUUUUUAAAGCUCCGGCGGUUCGGGAUGGGCGUGCGGCUGUUUAGGUAGUUGGUUGAGGUAACGGCUCACCAAGCCUACGAUCAGUAACGGGUGUGAGAGCACGACCAGUCACACGGGCACUGAGACGCGGGCCCGACUCCUACGGGAGGCAGCAGUAAGGAAUAUUGGGCAAUGGAGGCAACUCUGACCCAGCCAUGCCGCGUGGAGGAUGAAGGCCCUCUGGGUUGUAAACUUCUUUUAUAGGGGACGAAACCUGUGUAUUCUUACGCAGUUGACGGUACCCUAGGAAUAAGCACCGGCUAACUCCGUG
This 489-nucleotide ribosomal RNA is filed under the name uncultured bacterium. RNAcentral's name for it is "partial 16S ribosomal RNA". It matches the Rfam family "Bacterial small subunit ribosomal RNA", at positions 28 to 507 of the family's 1533-position model. The record is from RNAcentral.